AGUGAACGCUGGCGGUAGGCCUAACACAUGCAAGUCGAACGGCAGCACAGUAAGAGCUUGUGGUUACGGCUGGCGAGGGGUGGAUGGGGGAGGAAUAUAUCGCUAUCUACUUUUUCGAGGGUGAUAAAGUAGGGGCACUUACGCCAAUACCGCAGACGACGUACGGGUGAAAGCAGGGGAUCUCCGGAUCUCGCGUGAUUGUAUGAGGCGAUGUCGGAUUAGCUAGUUGGCGGGGUAAAGGCCCACCAAGGCGACGAUCCGUAGCUGGUCUGAGAGGAUGAUCAGCCACACUGGAACUGAGACACGGUCCAGACUCCUACGGGAGGCAGCAGUGGGGAAUAUUGGACAAUGGGCGAAAGCCUGAUCCAGCCAUACCGCGUGGGUGAAGAAGGCCUUCGGGUUGUAAAGCCCUUUUGUUGGGAAAGAAGAGCAGCAGGUUAAUACCUCGCUGUUCUGACGGUACCAACAGAAUAAGCACCGGCUAACUUCGUG
RNAcentral lists this ribosomal RNA (492 nucleotides) under uncultured bacterium. Its description in RNAcentral is "partial 16S ribosomal RNA". It matches the Rfam family "Bacterial small subunit ribosomal RNA", at positions 29 to 507 of the family's 1533-position model. The record is from RNAcentral.